RNAcentral lists this ribosomal RNA (497 nucleotides) under uncultured bacterium. Its description in RNAcentral is "partial 16S ribosomal RNA". It matches the Rfam family "Bacterial small subunit ribosomal RNA", at positions 28 to 507 of the family's 1533-position model. The record is from RNAcentral.
GAUGAACGCUGGCGGCGUGCCUAAUACAUGCAAGUCGAGCGAACAGAUGAGGAGCUUGCUCCUCUGCCGUUAGCGGCGGACGGGUGAGUAACACGUGGAUAACCUACCUAUAAGACUGGGAUAACUUCGGGAAACCGGAGCUAAUACCGGAUCAUAUAUUGAACCGCAUGGUUCAAUAGUGAAAGACGGUUUUGCUGUCACUUAUAGAUGGAUUCGCGCCGCAUUAGCUAGUUGGUAAGGUAACGGCUUACCAAGGCAACGAUGCGUAGCCGACCUGAGAGGGUGAUCGGCCACACUGGAACUGAGACACGGUCCAGACUCCUACGGGAGGCAGCAGUAGGGAAUCUUCCGCAAUGGGCGAAAGCCUGACGGAGCAACGCCGCGUGAGUGAUGAAGGUCUUCGGAUCGUAAAACUCUGUUAUUAGGGAAGAACAAAUGUGUAAGUAACUAUGCACGUCUUGACGGUACCUAAUCAGAAAGCCACGGCUAACUACGUG